UACGUAGGGGGCAAGCGUUGUCCGGAAUUAUUGGGCGUAAAGAGCGCGUAGGCGGUCCGAUAAGUCGGCUGUGAAAGUCAGGGGCUCAACCCUUGAAAGCCGGCCGAUACUGUCGGACUAGAGUCCGGAAGAGGCAAGUGGAAUUCCCGGUGUAGCGGUGAAAUGCGUAGAUAUCGAGAGGAACACCUGCGGCGAAGGCGGGUUGCUGGGCUGAUACUGACGCUGAGGCGCGAAAGCUAGGGGAGCGAACGGG
RNAcentral lists this ribosomal RNA (253 nucleotides) under uncultured bacterium. Its description in RNAcentral is "partial 16S ribosomal RNA". It matches the Rfam family "Bacterial small subunit ribosomal RNA", at positions 524 to 776 of the family's 1533-position model. The record is from RNAcentral.